Molecule: ribosomal RNA, 324 nt
Filed under: uncultured eukaryote
Lineage: Eukaryota
Description: partial 18S ribosomal RNA
Rfam family: Eukaryotic small subunit ribosomal RNA
Source: RNAcentral
CCCUUAGAUGUUCUGGGCUGCACGCGCGCUACACUGAAGCUAUCAACACGUUUUCCCUACCUGAGAAGGGCGGGUAACCUUUUGAAUCAGCUUCGUGGUAGGGAUCGGGGCUUGCAAUUGUUCCCCGUGAACCAGGAAUUCCUAGUAGACGCGAGUCAUAAGCUCGCAUCGAUUAAGUCCCUGCCCUUUGUACACACCGCCCGUCGCUACUACCGAUUGAACGUUUUAGUGAGGCAUUUGGACCGACGCAUCUCAGUUUAACCGCUGGUUUGUGUUGGAAAGACUUCCAAACUUGAGCGUUUAGAGGAAGUAAAAGUCGUAACA